This 376-nucleotide ribosomal RNA is filed under the name uncultured organism. Its description in RNAcentral is "partial 16S ribosomal RNA". It matches the Rfam family "Bacterial small subunit ribosomal RNA", at positions 527 to 897 of the family's 1533-position model. The record is from RNAcentral.
GUAGGUGGCAAGCGUUGUCCGGGAAUUAUUGGGGCGUGAAGCGCGCGCAGGCGGUCCUUUAAGUCUGAUGUGAAAGCCCACGGGCUCAACCGUGGAGGGUCAUUGGAAACUGGGGGACUUGAGUACAGAAGAGGAAAGCGGAAUUCCAAGUGUAGCGGUGAAAUGCGUAGAGAUUUGGAGGAACACCAGUGGCGAAGGCGGCUUUCUGGUCUGUAACUGACGCUGAGGCGCGACAGCGUGGGGAGCAAACAGGAUUAGAUACCCUGGUAGUCCACGCCGUAAACGAUGAGUGCUAAGUGUUAGGGGGUUUCCGCCCCUUAGUGCUGCAGCUAACGCAUUAAGCACUCCGCCUGGGGAGUACGGCCGCAAAGGCUGA